GAUGGAGUGAUGGAGUGCAGGGGCGUGACCUCAGCUCACUGCAACCUUCACCUCCCAGGUUCAAGUGAUUCUCCUGCCUCUGCCUCCCGAAUAGCUGGGAUUACAGGUAUGCACUACUACACUGGGCUAAGUUUUGUAUUUUCAGUAGAGAUGGGGUUUCACCACUUGGCCAGGCUGGUCUCGAACUUCUGACCUCAAGCAAUCCUCCCGCCUUAGGCUCCCAAAGUGGUGGGAUUACAGGCCUGAACCACAGGGCCCAGCCUUGGCUUGUGGUUCUUUUACUAAAUAUGGAAUAGCGAUAAAGCUUAUGUAUCAUAUUUGUAAAAGAAAGCUAGGCACAUGAAGCAGAAUUAAUUCAUGAGGGAAAAUAUUUAUUUUACUCUCAAGUCUCCCGAAAGUUAUUGUAUUCAUUUAAACUCAAUUUCUAAUUUUUUUAGUUACCCAAAUACUAUUGCAUUAAAUGCAUUAAAGAGAGCAUUGUACCUAGCAGAUAUGUGAGAAACAGUUUGACUUUUUAACCACUAAAAAAUGUCCAAAUAUCAGAAUUUAUUUUAUUUUAAAUUUCAAAAAAAUCCUUAUUUUAUAUGAUAAAAAUCAAGUUGAUUUGUAAGUCAUAUAUAUCAGCUUAUUAUCAAGAACUAUUGCUAUGUAAAAGAACUUAGGACUGUGUAAUUAGAACUAUGUAAUAGAAAUAUUUACAGAAGACUAUAUCUGCCAACAUGAGAUACUCUACCACCAUAACUUAUAUCAAUGACUCUUGUUCUAUCAUCGUGUGCAUUAUAAAUAGUGCAAAAUUUCAAGAAAUUUCCAUUUUGAGAUAUAAGAAAUCAAUAUGCUGGGAAAACUAAUAUCAAACUCUGAAGUAGAUAUAUUUCAUUUUAUAUAUAUUUUAAAUGACCUUUAACUAAAGGUUAAAUUGGAUUGACACACUGAAGAUAAAUUUUUUUAUUAUUAUCAUCAUUAAAUUAUUAUUUUGUGACUAUUACUAUUCAACUAACACUACAUCUGAUAAUAUAAUGAUAAACACAUUCCUUUUUUAUAUUAACUAGCAUUUUUUUCGAGUUUCUUAAAGCUUUGUUUGCAACUCUGGAUGAUUUAUGUGGGACAUGAUAAAACCAAUCUCCACACAGGCUAAUUUGAGACCUGGCAUCAUUGUCUCUCUCUGAACAAUCUGGAAGCUUUUUUAUGGUAGUGAAUUGCUCAUUUGGGGUGCGAGGAUUGAAGCAGGCAAGUGUCUGGGUCAUUAUGUGCUCAGCCAUGUCUUACAUAGGUGUUUGGAUUUGUAUAGCACUGGUUAAUCUGUAAUGUGUUUUAAUUUAGAGACAUAAAUUCUGGCCAGAAUUCUAUGCUUUAAUUAAAUAGUGUCAAGGGAUUGAUCGCAGCAUAUUGAUCCAUAACUGAACAUUUUAUCCAUGAAGUCACAGGUCCAGUGAGUCAUCAUUGCCUAGAAUACCCUACUUCAAACAAUGAAACUCACUUUCAAUCUAUCAUCAUCUUUCACUCUUCAGUGAAACCCCAUGUAGCUUCCAGAUGUGGUUUCAGGAUUUCUCUAUAUUGUUGGAGAGCAUUUAGGGCUCAAGAGAAAUCAUUGCUGCUUUAGCGCCUGGAGAAGAGCUACAGCUCAGGUGUUCAAUAGAAGAGAUGCACACAGGCAUCUAUGUUGUCAGCAAGCUAGCACUAUCAAAGCAUCUGGAGACAACAAUAGGAGUCAAGGAUACCAUCUCUAGCACAGAUCCCCGCACAGAACAAGAACCUGAGACCUGCCGAACAGCAGGUGCCAAAGAUGCUGCUGUAACACCACAGCCCUCCCAUCUUCCAUCCUCCACUGGCGCUGAGUGGCAGUCCCAUGUGACAGGAAGUGGAGGCAGAGCUGGGCCAGCCCAGGAGCCACGUGCUGGAGCCAGAUACUCUGUUUUUCUACAAAUGGAAAGUUUGUGGCAUCCUUGACUCAAGCAAAUUUUUCAGCACCAUUUUUCAAGAGCGUGUGCUCACUUCACCUCUCUGUAUCGUGUUUUGAUGCUUGUCCUGGAAACCAACCAUGAGCUGUGAUGAAAUCCAGGCAACUGAGUUGUGUUUCAGCCCAAAGCAGCAAAUGGAAUCCAGCUUCAGGACCAUCAUCUGACAUAGGGGAAGAAGACUUACAUAGAAGGCCUAACCAGCACCCAAGAUCAUGCUCAUAGGUGGAGGAGACUUGCUUUGUCUCAGAUGAGACUUUGGACUGUGGACUUUUGAGUUAAUGCUGAAAUGAGUUGAGACUUUGGGGAACUGUUGGGAAGGCAUGAUUGGUUUUAAAUAUGAAUAUAUGAGAUUUGGGAGGGGGUCAGGGGUGGAAUGAUAUGGUUUGGCUCUGUGUCCCCACCCAAAUCUCAUCUUGUAGCUCCCAUAAUCCUCCCAUGUUGUGGGAGGGACCCAGUGGGAGAUGAUUGAAUCAUGAGGGCGGGUCUUUCUCAUGCUGUUCAUGAUCCCAUUCAUGUGAGAAAGACCCAUGUGAUCAUGAAUGGGUCUCACAAGAUCUGAUGGUGUUAAAAAUGGGAGUUUCUCUGCACAAGCUCUCUGCCUGCUGCCAUUCACAAAGGAUGUGACUUGCUUCUCCUUGCCUUCUGCUAUGAUUGUGAGGCCUCCCUAGCCAUGUGGAACUGUGAGUCCAAUUAAACCUCUUUCUUUUGUAAAUU
RNAcentral lists this long non-coding RNA (2672 nucleotides) under Homo sapiens (human). Its description in RNAcentral is "HSALNT0191496". The record is from RNAcentral. Lineage: Eukaryota; Metazoa; Chordata; Mammalia; Primates; Hominidae.